This is an RNA transcript of Phragmites australis (common reed), 1859 nucleotides long. It is a transcript of the gene named SWI/SNF complex subunit SWI3B-like, with no coding region annotated. Lineage: Eukaryota; Viridiplantae; Streptophyta; Magnoliopsida; Poales; Poaceae. The record is from RefSeq and is a predicted model, not a curated record. The transcript has 7 exons.
UACUAAAUAAACCUUGUCUGAUCGAUUACUGUUUGCUUUAUUUGGGCUACUUAUUAGUGCAGACCUAAUCCUUGAGGCCCAACAUUAAGCCCAAUAGACAAACAUAACGGACCCACGUCCGCGGCUCCUUCUCCCCUUCCACCUCCGAUGGCCACAACGACGACGACGGCGGCAGCGGCGGCGGCCACCGCCAGCUUCGGACCAACGCCUCCACGGCCUCCGACUGCUGCGCCACCCGCUCCUCCGCCGCCAUCCACCGCGGGCGCCGUCAAGUCAGAGGUCCCUCCCACCCCCACAUCCUCUACCGCCACCGCCGCCGCUGCCGGAGCAGAGGAUCCAUCCCACAUUAUCACCGUUCCGAGCUACUCAGCGUGGUUCUCGUAUGACUCCAUCCACGACACGGAGCGCCGCCUCCUUCCGGAGUUCUUCGAGGGGGAAGCUGCGGCGGCGUCCGGGUGCCGGGGCCCGGGCGCGUAUAAGUACUACCGCGACAACCUGGUGAGGAGGUUCCGGGCGCGGCCGGGUCGGCGGCUCACGCUCACCGAGGCCAGGCGGGGCCUUGUCGGCGACGUCGGCUCCGUGCGCCGCGUCUUCGACUUCCUUGAGGAGUGGGGGCUCAUCAACUAUGGUGCUUUGCCGUCGGGCUCGAAGCAGGCGAAAGAGAAGAGGGAGGAGGCUGCGCCACAGUCGUCGUUGCCUUCUGGGGCAACGGUACCCAGGAAGCUCUGCACUGGGUGCCGCACCGUGUGUGGCCUUGCUUACUUCGCCUGCGAGAAGGCAGAUAUAAGUCUCUGUGCUAGAUGCUUUGUACGUGCUAACUACAGGCCAGGUCUGACUGCAGCAGACUUCAAGAGAGUUGAAAUUACUGAAGAUGCAAAAUCAGAUUGGACAGACAAAGAAACCCUUCACUUGCUUGAGGCUGUCUUGCAUUAUGGAGAAGACUGGAAAAAGGUGUCUGAACAUGUUGGUAGUCGAUCAGAGAAAGACUGCAUUGCCAGAUUCAUCCGAUUACCUUUUGGAGAACAAUUCAUGGGACCCAAGGAGGAUAAAAUGCGGUUUGAGAAUGAUAAUGACACUACCGAUGAGCCUGGAGCAGAUGUCUCAAAACGACAAAGUCUCACUCCACUGGCUGAUGCAAGCAACCCGAUUAUGGCUCAGGUUGCAUUCCUAUCGGCCAUUGUGGGUUCAGAAGCUGCCUCGGCUGCAGCUCAAGCAGCUAUUUCUGCACAAUCCCAGGUUGACCUAAAUGAUGGUGAGAUUGAUUCUUCAAUGAACAGCACCAGGGAGGAAGUCAACGAUUUACUCAGAGAGGCUGCUACUAAUGCACGAGUGCAACUUGAGAAGGAACGGAGCAGUAUAGAGCAAUCUUUAUCCGACAUAGUAGAUGUCCAGAUGAAGGAAAUCCAAGAUAAAAUAUGCCAUUUUGAACAGAAGGAGAUACUGAUGGAGAAAGAGCGACAACAGCUCCAUUGUUUAAGGGAUUUGCUUUUUGCAGACCAACUGGCAGUUGCGCAACAUCAUCGCAGGCCCCCAGCUGUACCCAUGGAGAGCAAAGAUGACGAGAAGCCAAAACCCGUGAUUAACAUAGGUUGGUUCGAAUAGAGCUUCAUCAUAGCAUGCUUUUGAUGUGAGAUUGAAACCGUGUUCCUUUGCAUCAGCCGUUGUAGGCAUGCCGGGUUGUGCGUGUAUGACGACUACCAGCUGGUUGUGCUUUUCUAGGAGGCAUCGAAGUACAGAUCUGUUUUAUGCCCAUGCAUUUGUAAGACAAUUAUAGGUUGAUUUAAGGAACGGGUGAUGAUGGAUCAUCCGAUCUUAGCUCUGAGCUCAACUCAAUUGAUUUGUUUGGUUUGAGGAAUAUA